GACGAACGCUGGCGGCAUGCCUAACACAUGCAAGUCGAACGGAGAUUAUUUCGGUAAUCUUAGUGGCGAACGGGUGAGUAACGCGUGGGCAACCUGCCCUCUAGAUGGGGACAACAUCCCGAAAGGGGUGCUAAUACCGAAUGUGACAGCAAUCUCGCAUGAGGAUGCUGUGAAAGAUGGCCUCUAUUUAUAAGCUAUCGCUAGAGGAUGGGCCUGCGUCUUAUUAGCUAGUUGGUGGGGUAACGGCCUACCAAGGCGAUGAUCAGUAGCCGGUCUGAGAGGAUGAACGGCCACAUUGGGACUGAGACACGGCCCAGACUCCUACGGGAGGCAGCAGUGGGGAAUCUUCCGCAAUGGGCGAAAGCCUGACGGAGCAAUGCCGCGUGAGUGAUGAAGGAAUUCGUUCCGUAAAGCUCUUUUGUUUAUGACGAAUGUGCAGAUUGUGAACAAUGAUCUGUAAUGACGGUAGUAAACGAAUAAGCCACGGCUAACUACGUG
This 498-nucleotide ribosomal RNA is filed under the name uncultured bacterium. RNAcentral's name for it is "partial 16S ribosomal RNA". It matches the Rfam family "Bacterial small subunit ribosomal RNA", at positions 28 to 507 of the family's 1533-position model. The record is from RNAcentral.